CUCCUCUGCAUUUUUUUACAACAGUUAAGAGCAGCAAUUGGCCAACUGGUCCCUAUCCAAUUCUCUAGGCCAUGUGCCCCAAGAAGUCCUUUCUUCACUGCCCUGUGGUGGCCUUGGCCUGCCUCCCUACUCAAGUCACUCCUUUACCACUAAUUUAACCCUGUUUCCAUUUAUAGGAUCUUACCUAGCCAUAGGACCUGCUGCCUCUGCCAAUUGAAAAAUACUAUUGAAGUUGUCUGCAAGACAGUCAAGCUGCACUGUGACAGUGACUGCCUGGCAAGCACCAUACGUUGUGGUGAAGAAGCAGCUGUAGGGAACGUAGAAGGAUCAUUCAUGAAGGUGUUACGAGCCCGGAAUAAGAGCAUCAGCACUGAGCUCAUUAUUGAGCCAGAGAAAGCGUCCUCGGACAGACGUGGUGUCAGCCUGUCAGCCUUCAUGAAUAAACAAGUAGAUUUUAAUGACAAAAGUGAUGUUAUCAGUGCACUAAAUUACGUACUGCCUUGUUUCUCAGAGGGAAAUCUGGAGGAUUUAGAAACAGCAUUUUUACCAUUCAUUAAACUUCUUUUUUCAAAUGUACAAGAUAGAGAUAAGCCCCUGGGUUAUUUGAUAAAAAA
Vicugna pacos (alpaca) is the source of this 614-nucleotide non-coding RNA. The record is from RefSeq and is a predicted model, not a curated record. Lineage: Eukaryota; Metazoa; Chordata; Mammalia; Artiodactyla; Camelidae.